RNAcentral lists this ribosomal RNA (354 nucleotides) under Triticum aestivum (bread wheat). RNAcentral describes it as "partial small subunit ribosomal RNA". The record is from RNAcentral. Lineage: Eukaryota; Viridiplantae; Streptophyta; Magnoliopsida; Poales; Poaceae.
AUGUUCGUGAUCCCAAUCCCUCGCCGGCGCCGGAGCCCUCGCCCUCCUCCGCCUAUUUCCCCCAUCUCUCUUCCUCCCCACUAUGCGACCGGGCAAGAUGACCGUGCGCGCAUCGAUGGAUGCGUUGGCGUCGUAGCUUCCCGCCACGGCCACGGCUCAAUGAGGAAGCGGGAGGAGGAGAAAUCCGGCGGUCACUGUGGACAUGUGCAGCUGUGGAAAGCUCAAGUGAUGCAUGCGGAUGGUACAAAGAAUCAAGCCUGGAAGUUAAUUUGGAGCUUGCCUUGUCCAGGUAAAGUAAACCAUUUUAUUUGGAGGCUUGCAUGGGACAGUCCAUUGACCCAGAAGAAUGUUUGA